This 378-nucleotide unclassified non-coding RNA is filed under the name plant metagenome. Its description in RNAcentral is "partial contains 5.8S ribosomal RNA, internal transcribed spacer 2, and large subunit ribosomal RNA". The stretch from base 1 to 105 matches the Rfam family "5.8S ribosomal RNA", at positions 50 to 154 of the family's 154-position model. The record is from RNAcentral.
GAAAUGCGAUAAGUAAUGUGAAUUGCAGAAUUCAGUGAAUCAUCGAAUCUUUGAACGCACCUUGCGCUCCUUGGUAUUCCUUGGAGCAUGCCUGUUUGAGUAUCAUGAAAUCUUCAAAGUAAAUCUUUUGUUAACUCAAUUGGUUUCUACUUUGGUAUUGGAGGUCUUUGCAGCUUCACACCUGCUCCUCUUUGUUCAUUAGCUGGAUCUCAGUGUUAUGCUUGGUUCCACUCGGCGUGAUAAGUUAUCUAUCGCUGAGGACACUGUAAAAGGUGGCCAAGGUAAAUGCAGAUGAACCGCUUCUAAUAGUCCAUUGACUUGGACAAUACUUUUAUGAUCUGAUCUCACAUCAGGUAGAACUACCCGCUGAACUUAAGC